AGAGUUUGAUCCUGGCUCAGGGCGAACGCUGGCGGCAGGCCUAACACAUGCAAGUCGUACGGACCCUUCGGGGUUAGUGGCGGACGGGUGAGUAACACGUGGGAACGUGCCUUUAGGUUCGGAAUAGCUCCUGGAAACGGGUGGUAAUGCCGAAUGUGCCCUUCGGGGGAAAGAUUUAUCGCCUUUAGAGCGGCCCGCGUCUGAUUAGCUAGUUGCUGAGGUAAUGACUCACCAAGGCGACGAUCAGUAGCUGGUCUGAGAGGAUGACCAGCCACAUUGGGACUGAGACACGGCCCAAACUCCUACGGGAGGCAGCAGUGGGGAAUCUUGCGCAAUGGGCGAAAGCCUGACGCAGCCAUGCCGCGUGAAUGAUGAAGGUCUUAGGAUUGUAAAAUUCUUUCACCGGGGACGAUAAUGACGGUACCCGGAGAAGAAGCCCCGGCUAACUUCGUGCCAGCAGCCGCGGUAAU
Molecule: ribosomal RNA, 470 nt
Filed under: uncultured Brevundimonas sp.
Lineage: Bacteria; Pseudomonadati; Pseudomonadota; Alphaproteobacteria; Caulobacterales; Caulobacteraceae
Description: bacterial SSU rRNA
Rfam family: Bacterial small subunit ribosomal RNA
Source: RNAcentral